GCAGCCCAUGCGGAAGAGCCGCCUCGAGCGGCACCGAAGGAGCAAGCACUCCCCGCCAACCUCUCAGGUCCGAAGACCGCAUGCGCAGG
This 89-nucleotide non-coding RNA is filed under the name Agrococcus jejuensis. RNAcentral describes it as "Glycine sequence". It matches the Rfam family "Glycine riboswitch aptamer". From Rfam's summary of the family: This family represents the bacterial glycine riboswitch. Glycine riboswitches usually consist of two metabolite-binding aptamers domains with similar structures in tandem. The aptamers cooperatively bind glycine to regulate the expression of downstream genes. The record is from RNAcentral. Lineage: Bacteria; Bacillati; Actinomycetota; Actinomycetes; Micrococcales; Microbacteriaceae.